Molecule: transfer RNA, 76 nt
Filed under: Vibrio parahaemolyticus
Lineage: Bacteria; Pseudomonadati; Pseudomonadota; Gammaproteobacteria; Vibrionales; Vibrionaceae
Description: tRNA-Gly
Rfam family: tRNA
About the family: Transfer RNA (tRNA) molecules are approximately 80 nucleotides in length. Their secondary structure includes four short double-helical elements and three loops (D, anti-codon, and T loops).
Source: RNAcentral
GCGACACUAGCUCAGUUGGUAGAGCGCAACCUUGCCAAGGUUGAGGUCAGGAGUUCGAACCUCGUGUGUCGCUCCA